Molecule: small RNA, 1017 nt
Filed under: Histoplasma capsulatum var. duboisii H88
Lineage: Eukaryota; Fungi; Ascomycota; Eurotiomycetes; Onygenales; Ajellomycetaceae
Description: Histoplasma capsulatum H88 hypothetical RNA
Source: RNAcentral
CAGGCUUGAUCUCAGUGGACGAAGGCAUCUGGGCUGUUCAAAAGAUCCUUGUCUACGGGUUCGAUGAUAUCCUAUUGCUCUGAAAAGCAUUUCAGGCGCACUGUCAAUGGUGCUGGGGAGACGUUACUCGGGUAUGCGGCGUUCAACCUCGCUCUCGCCAUAAAAGGCUGUGCAAUGAGUAAUAACAUGAGUACUAACUAGAAGGUAUGAGAGAGAUGGGUAAUUUGGCAGUACUUCCACCUAAAAUUGCUAAUUCUCCUCAAGGCAGAUCAAGACAUACAAGCUCUAUAUGAAAGCGGAGAAUGUGUUGGGUUGCUAACCAAUUAGCAAUCCAUCUUGGUAGCCCCCAUACAGCUGAGUGCUCACUGGUGCCUCUAUCCCUCGUCGGGAAGAAGACCUGCAAUUCCUUUCAAGGCGAAACUUGUCUUGGGCGAUGAUACUGUACAGUACAUCCCCCAUCAGUAGGCAAUGUAUCUUGCUGCUCGGCGAAAGUUCGGAGUUUGACACGCAUUGAUUGUGCUUGUUAAUGCGGUUUGAGACCCUGAGUAAGUCGCUGCAGGGGUUUUUACUUUGCUGAUACAGCAUUUUAGCCUGCGGAAGUUGCAGCUGCGCCACAUUGUUAUGGAUUCGAUUCAGUGGGAAAUAUAUAAAGGGCACCUACGAAUUUGGAGCGUCUAAAACUAACCGUAGGAACUUUCAACAAUAUUCUUGGAAUAUGGUGAAGAUGUUGAAAGGCGGAAGAGCAGAUCCGGCCAUACAUAGUAUUUGUGAUUGAACGCUGGGUGCAAUCAAACAAACUGCUCAUUCAAAGUCUACUUCUCGUUAUUAGCACCUUACUUCUUUCCAUGAGGUCGGAAAUAUUUCAUUGGCCUCUUGCAUCGCUACUUUCUAGUUCUUUACAUUGAUGGAGGUUGACAAAUUCGCAAGGAAUGUACCAAGCCAACCAUGAGAAGCUCAUUGACUACUUGCUAGCAAUCCAAGGAAUAAUAGUAUUUCCAUCCACGGAAUUUUCCCAUG